This 162-nucleotide ribosomal RNA is filed under the name uncultured bacterium. RNAcentral describes it as "partial 16S ribosomal RNA". It matches the Rfam family "Bacterial small subunit ribosomal RNA", at positions 1339 to 1500 of the family's 1533-position model. The record is from RNAcentral.
UAAUCGCGGAUCAGCAUGCCGCGGUGAAUACGUUCCCGGGCCUUGUACACACCGCCCGUCACACCAUGAGAGUCGGGAACACCCGAAGUCCGCAGCCUAACCGCAAGGGGGGCGCGGCCGAAGGUAGGACUGGUAAUUAGGGUGAAGUCGUAACAAGGUAAC